RNAcentral lists this ribosomal RNA (500 nucleotides) under uncultured bacterium. RNAcentral's name for it is "bacterial SSU rRNA". It matches the Rfam family "Bacterial small subunit ribosomal RNA", at positions 9 to 526 of the family's 1533-position model. The record is from RNAcentral.
GAGUUUGAUCCUGGCUCAGGACGAACGCUGGCGGCGUGCCUAACACAUGCAAGUCGAGCGAGGAAGCCCCUUCGGGGGUGGAAUAGCGGCGGACGGGCGAGUAACACGUGGGUAACCUGCCUCAAAGAGGGGGAUAGCCUCCCGAAAGGGAGAUUAAUACCGCAUAGAAGGUAAAAAUCGCAUGAUAAAUGCCUUAAAGGAGCAAUCCGCUUUGAGAUGGGCCCGCGUCGCAUUAGCUAGUUGGAGGGAUAAAAGCCCCCCAAGGCGACGAUGCGUAGCCGACCUGAGAGGGUGAACGGCCACAUUGGAACUGAGAUACGGUCCAGACUCCUACGGGAGGCAGCAGUGGGGAAUAUUGCACAAUGGGGGAAACCCUGAUGCAGCAACGCCGCGUGAGUGAAGAAGGUUUUCGGAUCGUAAAGCUCUGUCAUCCUGGACGAUAAUGACGGUACCGGAAGAGGAAGCCACGGCUAACUACGUGCCAGCAGCCGCGGUAAUAC